UACGGAGGGGGCUAGCGUUGUUCGGAAUUACUGGGCGUAAAGCGCACGUAGGCGGCUUUGUAAGUUAGAGGUGAAAGCCCGGAGCUCAACUCCGGAAUAGCCUUUAAGACUGCAUCGCUAGAACGUUGGAGAGGUAAGUGGAAUUCCGAGUGUAGAGGUGAAAUUCGUAGAUAUUCGGAAGAACACCAGUGGCGAAGGCGACUUACUGGACAACUGUUGACGCUGAGGCGCGAAAGCGUGGGGAGCAAACAGG
This 253-nucleotide ribosomal RNA is filed under the name uncultured bacterium. RNAcentral describes it as "partial 16S ribosomal RNA". It matches the Rfam family "Bacterial small subunit ribosomal RNA", at positions 524 to 776 of the family's 1533-position model. The record is from RNAcentral.